CGUCCCUCUACAAACGCUCCAAUGUCAUCUACACCCCUCUGAGGCACCUGUCCUCGGAACCCAACCUGACCCCGAGCCCGAGAUCAGACCCCAGACACCGAGCACAGAAAAGGCAGGUGCGCUCGUGCGUGACUACACCCUCGCAGGAUUGGUCAGGGGUCAAAGGUCGCUCCACACCACUGCAGACUCCCCGUAAGAGACCCCAGACCGCCGGCACAGGAAGGACUGCUGCUUGCAAGGUGAGCACCCCCAGUUCUCUAGCCCGGGGCGACUCCUGCACCCCUCAUCGUCAUCAUCCUCCUCCUCCUCCUUCGCCACCCCUUCGCAUGUUCCCGCUCUCCCCCGGCGGCGGCAAGCGCCCGGCCCGCCACGUGGACUUCGAGUCGCCGCCGACCGCCCACCACAACCCGCUGGACCCGUACCGCCAGCACACCGGCUUCCGGCUCCGCACCGACACGCAGCUGGAGGAGUACGUGCGGGAGCAGACCCAGAUGGCGCGCCGCGAGAACGCCAGGGCGCAGGCGGAGGAGGCCGAGAGGGUCAGGCCGGGCGCCCACAACCCCCGCCGGCGGAAGACGACGGUGUGGGGGGUGAGGGCGAAGGGGCUGCCCUGCAAGGACUUCACCAAGGAGGGGCAGGUGUACGCGCCCGAGCUGGGCCCGGAUGUUUACAUCUGAGGGGGGGGGGCGUCUCUGCAGCGAGGGAUGAUGGGGAAAAAUGAGAAGAUGAGAGACGACGAAACACCAAGAGACUGGAAUGUGUGUGAGAUUAUUUUGGUCUCACUUACACACAUACACACAUACACACAUACACACACACACACACACACACACACACACACUUCCAUGUACACGCACACACACAUACUUUCAUGUACACACAUGCACACUCAUGUACACACACAAACACACACAUGCACACACACUUUCAUGUACACACACAAACAUGCACAUGCACACACACACACACACUCUGUCAUGUACACGCACAAACACACAUUUGCAGUACAGCUCAACCAAGCCAACCAGCCCGAGACAAAUACCUUGAGAUUUAAAUUUUUGUUUUCUCUCUUGUUCUGCAAAUCUGUUUCCC
Molecule: long non-coding RNA, 1092 nt
Organism: Clupea harengus (Atlantic herring)
Lineage: Eukaryota; Metazoa; Chordata; Actinopteri; Clupeiformes; Clupeidae
Source: Ensembl